AAAACUUUCAACAACGGAUCUCUUGGUUCUGGCAUCGAUGAAGAACGCAGCGAAAUGCGAUAAGUAAUGUGAAUUGCAGAAUUUAGUGAAUCAUCGAAUAUUUGAACGCACAUUGCGCCCCUCGGUAUUCCGGGGGGCAUGCCUGUUCGAGCGUCAUU
This 158-nucleotide ribosomal RNA is filed under the name Cladonia furcata. Its description in RNAcentral is "5.8S ribosomal RNA". It matches the Rfam family "5.8S ribosomal RNA". Rfam says of the family: 5.8S ribosomal RNA (5.8S rRNA) is a component of the large subunit of the eukaryotic ribosome. It is transcribed by RNA polymerase I as part of the 45S precursor that also contains 18S and 28S rRNA. The record is from RNAcentral. Lineage: Eukaryota; Fungi; Ascomycota; Lecanoromycetes; Lecanorales; Cladoniaceae.